CGGCAGCUAUACAUGCAAGUCGAACGGUUGGUAGCAAUACCAAUAGUGGCGCACGGGUGCGUAACGCGUAACCAACCUACCCGAAUCUGGGGGAUAGCCCGCCGAAAGGCGGAUUAAUACCGCAUAAAACUGCAGCACGGCAUCGUGUAACAGUUAAAGAUUUAUUGGAUUCGGAUGGGGUUGCGUGCCAUUAGCUAGUUGGCGGGGUAACGGCCCACCAAGGCGACGAUGGCUAGGGGAGCUGAGAGGCUGGUCCCCCACACGGGCACUGAGAUACGGGCCCGACUCCUACGGGAGGCAGCAGUAGGGAAUAUUGGGCAAUGGACGAGAGUCUGACCCAGCCAUGCCGCGUGCAGGAUGAAGGCUUUCUGAGUCGUAAACUGCUUUUACCAGGGAAAAAAAAAGGGGAUGCGUCCUCUACUGACGGUACCUGGUGAAUAAGCACCGGCUAACUCCGUGCCAGCAGCCGCGGUAAUACGGAGGGUGCAAGCGUUGUCCGGAUUUAUUGGGUUUAAAGGGUGCGUAGGCGGCUGAUUAAGUCUGGGGUGAAAGCCCGUUGCUCAACAACGGAACUGCCCUGGAAACUGGUUAGCUUGAGUACAGACGAGGGUGGCGGAAUGGAUACUGUAGCGGUGAAAUGCAUAGAUAGUAUCCAGAACC
This 660-nucleotide ribosomal RNA is filed under the name uncultured bacterium. RNAcentral describes it as "bacterial SSU rRNA". It matches the Rfam family "Bacterial small subunit ribosomal RNA", at positions 40 to 708 of the family's 1533-position model. The record is from RNAcentral.